GUCCCGCAACGAGCGCAACCCUUAUCUUUAGUUGCCAUCAUUCAGUUGGGCACUCUAGAGAGACUGCCGGUGACAAACCGGAGGAAGGUGGGGAUGACGUCAAAUCAUCAUGCCCCUUAUGAUUUGGGCUACACACGUGCUACAAUGGAUGGUACAAAGGGCAGCAAAACCGCGAGGUCAAGCAAAUCCCAUAAAACCAUUCUCAGUUCGGAUUGUAGUCUGCAACUCGACUACAUGAAGCUGGAAUCGCUAGUAAUCGUAGAUCAGCAUGCUACGGUGAAUACGUUCCCGGGUCUUGUACACACCGCCCGUCACACCACGAGAGUUUGUAACACCCGAAGCCGGUGGAGUAAC
Molecule: ribosomal RNA, 354 nt
Filed under: Macrococcus sp.
Lineage: Bacteria; Bacillati; Bacillota; Bacilli; Caryophanales; Staphylococcaceae
Description: bacterial SSU rRNA
Rfam family: Bacterial small subunit ribosomal RNA
Source: RNAcentral